UUCUACACAUCUUAGCUGAAUAGGUUCCAUUCGCAUAUACCUGGAGUGUUUUUCCUAGUUUACGGUUUUGAUUCUUCACUGUUUCCGUACACUUCUACCGUAGCUCCCAUAUUCCAGUUCUUACCGCCUUUGCUCAGAAUUCUCUGCUGUACGGCACCAACAGCUACUAGGAAUAUGGCGCCUUCCAGUCUGUCACAGGUUUCGUUCAUCAGGCGCAGCCAUAUUAAACCCCUGGCUCAGGGAGACUAACAACCGGGAAAGUCUCGCGAUAAAGGUAAGUCGGAGGGGUCCGCGCCAAUUUCCGCGAUAGCCCAGAGAGUCCCACAGCCCCGGCACUGGAAGGGGGAGGUUGUAGCUUUUCAGCUGAGGGCUGGAAAAAAGAGGCGUAAAGUGGCAGAGUCCGGUUCUCCGAAGGGUUUCAUUCACUGACUGCGGUGUUGGGAGUAAGGGCGUCAUGUAUGAUCAGCGACUGAGCGUUUGUAACGCUCUGUCCUUACAGGUAUCUGCUGCUUCUCAAGAACCACAGAAAAUGAUCAAGUCUCAGGGAUUUGUGUCAUCCAAAGGUGUGACUGUUGGACUUCGCUCAGGAGGAGUGGCAGCAGCUGGACUCUGCUCAAGGAAACCUAUACAGGGAUGUGAUGCUGGAGAACUAUAGCAACCUUGUUUCAGGGGAGAUAACAACUUGUGGUUUCUGUCACCAUGAAUUGAUUCUGUUUUUGACCUUCAUGGUCUCAGUCUCUGAAUUCAGAUGUAACCUUCUUAUUUAAACAAGGAGAACCAUGGAAAGAGGAGGAACACAUGUCAAAUUGGACCUAUUCAGACUUUGAAAUUAGACCCGAGAUGAAAGAAUUAACUUCACAGAAGAGAAUUUCUGAAGAAGUGAUACUCUAUAACAUGAUAGUACUCAAAUUUUGAAGACUGGAAACUUGAAGAUGGGAUAAAUCACCAGGAAAACCAAGGCAAGCUUUUGAAACAAGUUGCAUUUGUUAACAAUAAGUCACUGACUAAGGAGAUAGACCAAGAAUGUAAUGCACUGGGGAAAAUAGUUAAUCUGAACAGAAUAUCUAAUGAGCACAUCAGAGCCUUCAUACAUAAGUCAUAUCUCUUUGCCCAACCAAAAAGUCUAACAAGUGAAAGAUAUGAAUGUAUUCAGUGUGGGAAAGCCUUCAGUGGAAAGCCAGGACUUAUUGUACAUCAGAGAAUUCAUACUGGGGAAAAACCAUACAAAUGUGAUGAAUAUGAAAAAGCCUUUAUUCAGAAGUCACAACUUCUGUACAUCAGAGAAUUCAUACAGGAGAGAAACCCUAUGAAUGUGGUGAAUGUGGAAAAGCAUUCAUCCAGAAGUCAAACCUC
Long non-coding RNA from Phacochoerus africanus (Common warthog), 1353 nucleotides. RefSeq lists it as uncharacterized. Lineage: Eukaryota; Metazoa; Chordata; Mammalia; Artiodactyla; Suidae. The record is from RefSeq and is a predicted model, not a curated record. The transcript is spliced from 6 exons.